RNAcentral lists this ribosomal RNA (253 nucleotides) under uncultured bacterium. Its description in RNAcentral is "partial 16S ribosomal RNA". It matches the Rfam family "Bacterial small subunit ribosomal RNA", at positions 524 to 776 of the family's 1533-position model. The record is from RNAcentral.
UACAGAGGUCCCAAGCGUUGUUCGGAUUUACUGGGCGUAAAGGGUGCGUAGGUGGCCGGGUAAGUCUGAUGUGAAAUCUCUGGGCUCAACCCAGAAAUGGCAUUGGAUACUAUCCGGCUUGAGGAGUGGAGGGGGGACUGGAAUACUUGGUGUAGCAGUGAAAUGCGUAGAUAUCUAGUGGAACACCAGUGGCGAAGGCGAGUCCCUGGACACUUCCUGACACUGAGGCACGAAAGCUAGGGGAGCAAACAGG